Molecule: ribosomal RNA, 499 nt
Filed under: Pseudocercospora fukuokaensis
Lineage: Eukaryota; Fungi; Ascomycota; Dothideomycetes; Mycosphaerellales; Mycosphaerellaceae
Also listed under: 1 other name
Description: eukaryotic LSU rRNA
Rfam family: 5.8S ribosomal RNA (bases 170-323)
Source: RNAcentral
AACCUGCGGAGGGAUCAUUACUGAGUGAGGGCUCACGCCCGACCUCCAACCCUUUGUGAACCAAACUUGUUGCUUCGGGGGCGACCCUGCCGACGACUUUGUCGCCGGGCGCCCCCGGAGGUCUUCUAAACACUGCAUCUUUGCGUCGGAGUUUAAACAAAUUAAACAAAACUUUCAACAACGGAUCUCUUGGUUCUGGCAUCGAUGAAGAACGCAGCGAAAUGCGAUAAGUAAUGUGAAUUGCAGAAUUCAGUGAAUCAUCGAAUCUUUGAACGCACAUUGCGCCCUUUGGUAUUCCGAAGGGCAUGCCUGUUCGAGCGUCAUUUCACCACUCAAGCCUGGCUUGGUAUUGGGCGUCGCGGUGUUCCGCGCGCCUUAAAGUCUUCCGGCUGAGCUGUCCGUCUCUAAGCGUUGUGGAUUUUUCAAUUCGCUUCGGAGUGCGGGUGGCCGCGGCCGUUAAAUCUUUAUUCAAAGGUUGACCUCGGAUCAGGUAGGGAUA